GGGCUAUAGCUCAGCAGCAGGGCAUCUGCGUAGUAAUCAGAAGGUCCCAGGUUCAGUUCCUGGCAUCUCCA
This is a non-coding RNA of Podarcis lilfordi (Lilford's wall lizard), 71 nucleotides long. NCBI's taxonomy places the organism in Eukaryota, Metazoa, Chordata, Lepidosauria, Squamata, Lacertidae. The record is from the annotation of a GenBank genome assembly.